RNAcentral lists this ribosomal RNA (402 nucleotides) under uncultured bacterium. RNAcentral describes it as "bacterial SSU rRNA". It matches the Rfam family "Bacterial small subunit ribosomal RNA", at positions 362 to 758 of the family's 1533-position model. The record is from RNAcentral.
UAUUGGACAAUGGGCGAAAGCCUGAUCCAGCAAUACCGCGUGUGUGAAGAAGGCCUUAGGGUUGUAAAGCACUUUCAAUUGGGAGGAAAACCUGCCGGUCAAUACCCGGUAGCUUGACAUUACCUUUAGAAGAAGCACCGGCUAACUCCGUGCCAGCAGCCGCGGUAAUACGGAGGGUGCGAGCGUUAAUCGGAAUUACUGGGCGUAAAGCGUGCGUAGGCGGUUCGUUAAGUCAGAUGUGAAAGCCCUGGGCUCAACCUGGGAACUGCAUUUGAAACUGGCGGACUAGAGUUUAGUAGAGGGGAGUGGAAUUUCAGGUGUAGCGGUGAAAUGCGUAGAUAUUUGAAGGAACACCAGUGGCGAAGGCGACUCCCUGGACUAGAACUGACGCUGAGUACGAAA